This 253-nucleotide ribosomal RNA is filed under the name uncultured bacterium. RNAcentral's name for it is "partial 16S ribosomal RNA". It matches the Rfam family "Bacterial small subunit ribosomal RNA", at positions 524 to 776 of the family's 1533-position model. RNAcentral also lists the same sequence under 1 other name. The record is from RNAcentral.
GACAGAGGGUGCAAACGUUGUUCGGAAUUACUGGGCGUAAAGCGUGUGUAGGCGGUCUCGCAAGUCGGAUGUGAAAGCCCCGGGCUCAACCCGGGAAGUGCACCCGAUACUGCAAGACUCGAGUACCGGAGAGGUUGGUGGAAUUCUCGGUGUAGAGGUGAAAUUCGUAGAUAUCGAGAGGAACACCGGUGGCGAAGGCGGCCAACUGGACGGAUACUGACGCUGAGACACGAAAGCGUGGGGAGCAAACAGG